GAUUUUGAAAGCCGUUGUUUUUCUGGUCCAGGAUCCAAUCCAGGAUCAAGCGCUGCCUUUAGUUGUCCUCUCUGCAGCCUCCUUUCGUUUGGAGCAGGUCCUCAGCCUUUCUGUCUUUCAUGACAUUGAUGUUUGUGAAGAGUACAGUCCAGUUUCUGUUGUAGAACGUCCUUGAAGUUGGUCCCGGAAUAUUUGUUUAAAGAUGGAAACCGGUGAAUUGUAAUCUCACAUAACCGAGCAAGAUCUAGUAGUCAUAAGCACUUUGUCAGAGCAAAGCAGACAAGGCAAAGUGUUGGAAAUGUCAUCGGAUCUUCACAGAACCUUAGCCAAGCAGCCUUUCAAUGCGAGAAACAAAAUAACAUGGAUUUUUAUCUAGUAAUGAAGUCAACACCAUUGUCCACCCUGGGUUAACACAUUCACAUCUCAAAGCGAAUGGGGCUGCAGACACUCGUGUUAGAGAGCCUUGGAAUGUCCUGCCUUUUUACGUUUAAUUAAAAUUAAAUAAAAUAUACAAAAUU
Molecule: long non-coding RNA, 518 nt
Filed under: Homo sapiens (human)
Lineage: Eukaryota; Metazoa; Chordata; Mammalia; Primates; Hominidae
Description: non-protein coding lnc-NCBP3-1:2
Source: RNAcentral